UUUUAGCCCUGAUCAAAACGGCAUCCUUUUAUGGAACUUCAGUGGAAUAAAAGAUAGAGUGGAGAGCAGGUUCCCGG
RNAcentral lists this small RNA (77 nucleotides) under Kaistella jeonii. RNAcentral describes it as "Chryseobacterium jeonii Flavo-1 RNA". It matches the Rfam family "Flavo-1 RNA". The record is from RNAcentral. Lineage: Bacteria; Pseudomonadati; Bacteroidota; Flavobacteriia; Flavobacteriales; Weeksellaceae.